Molecule: small nuclear RNA, 18 nt
Filed under: Arabidopsis thaliana (thale cress)
Lineage: Eukaryota; Viridiplantae; Streptophyta; Magnoliopsida; Brassicales; Brassicaceae
Description: snRNA_03113
Source: RNAcentral
CGUUCGUCUGACUUGGGU